This 384-nucleotide ribosomal RNA is filed under the name uncultured bacterium. RNAcentral's name for it is "bacterial SSU rRNA". It matches the Rfam family "Bacterial small subunit ribosomal RNA", at positions 30 to 416 of the family's 1533-position model. The record is from RNAcentral.
AUUGAACGCUGGCGGCAUGCCUUACACAUGCAAGUCGAACGGCAGCACGGGAGCAAUCCUGGUGGCGAGUGGCGAACGGGUGAGUAAUAUAUCGGAACGUGCCCAGUCGUGGGGAUAACGUAGCGAAAGCUACGCUAAUACCGCAUACGAUCUAUGGAUGAAAGCGGGGGAUCGCAAGACCUCGCGCGAUUGGAGCGGCCGAUAUCAGAUUAGGUAGUUGGUGAGGUAAAGGCUCACCAAGCCAACGAUCUGUAGCUGGUCUGAGAGGACGACCAGCCACACUGGGACUGAGACACGGCCCAGACUCCUACGGGAGGCAGCAGUGGGAAUUUUGGACAAUGGGCGCAAGCCUGAUCCAGCAAUGCCGCGUGCAGGAUGAAGGCC